RNAcentral lists this ribosomal RNA (451 nucleotides) under uncultured bacterium. RNAcentral describes it as "partial 16S ribosomal RNA". It matches the Rfam family "Bacterial small subunit ribosomal RNA", at positions 29 to 523 of the family's 1533-position model. The record is from RNAcentral.
AACGAACGCUGGCGGCAUGCCUAAUACAUGCAAGUCGAACGAACGUAGCAAUACGUGAGAGGCGGACGGGUGAGUAACACGUGGGAACCUGCCCAGCGGUGGGGAACAACCGAGGGAAACUUCGGCUAAUACCGCAUACGCCCUUACGGGGAAAGAUUUAUCGCCGUUGGAGGGGCCCGCGUCCGAUUAGCUAGUUGGUGAGGUAACGGCUCACCAAGGCGACGAUCGGGAACUGGUCUGAGAGGACGACCAGUCACACUGGGACUGAGACACGGCCCAGACUCCUACGGGAGGCAGCAGUAGGGAAUAUUGGACAAUGGGGGAAACCCUGAUCCAGCAAUGCCGCGUGAGUGAUGAAGGCCUUAGGGUUGUAAAGCUCUUUCGCCCACGACGAUGAUGACGGUAGUGGGAGAAGAAGCCCUGGCUAACUUCGUGCCAGCCGCCGCCGUAA